GUGAUCUGCCUGCCUCAGCCUCCCAAAGUGCUGGGAUUACAGGCGUGAGUCACCGCACCUGGCCUCAUCUCUCUUUCGUGAAGCCAGCAUUGUCCCCAGACAUCUCAGUCCUCAGUGUCCCUCCCGUCCCCACCUCUGGCAAGAGGCAGCAUUCUGGCCUUGGUGGAGGGGAAUGACAUCAGGCAGUGGCUGACAAUUCUCCCCUUGGUGGAGGGGAGGCCGUAGAUGAUGUCCUGGUGUCUGGUGUUCUGAUGGCCUCAGCAAUACCUACCCCAUGGACCCGAGUCCCUCCACAUCUCGUCCUUGGCCCUUCCUUCCUUCAUGCCUUCUAGCAGAUGCGGGUGGGCUGUCUGUUGUUCCUGUAGCACACAGGGUCAGGGUGGGCAUCAGUCCUGCCUUUCUUCUGAGACCCUCCAGCUUGCACCUUCUGGAAGCUGGGCACCCCCACUGCCCCACCAACCAGCUGGGAGAACAUAAAGGUAACGAAAUAGAAUUACUUGUUUUAGAAAAAGGAACCAGGGCCGGGUGCGGUGGCUCACGCCUGUAAUCCCAGCACUUUGGGAGGCCGAGGCAGGCAGAUCACGAGGUCAAGAGAUUGAGACCAUCCUGGCCAACAUGGUGAAACCCUGUCUCUACUAAAAAUACAAAAAUCAGCUGGGCGUGGUGGCGCAUACCUGUAGUCCCAGCUACUUGGGAGGCUGAGGCAGGAGAAUUGCUUGAACCUGGGAGGCGGAGGUUGCAGUGAGCCGAGAUUGCACCACUGCGCUCCAGCCUGGCGACAGAGUGAGGCUCUGUCUCAAAAAAAAAAAUAAAUAAAUAAAAUAACCUAUGCAUAUGCAAUUUUAAACACAACUUGCAGAGCUUCAUGUACUCGCUUCCUGAGGCUGCCAUAACAAAGGACUACAAACUGGGUGGCUUAAGACAAUGGGAAUGUUCUCUCACAGUGCCAGAGAGAGACCAGAGUCUGGAAUCAAGGUGUCCUCAGGGCUGUGGGGGAGAAUCCAGCCUCUCCCAGGAAUUCCUUGGCUUGUGGCCACAUCACUCCACUGUGCUUCCAUCUUCACGUAGCCAUCUUUCCGUUCUGUGUCCAAAUCUCCCUCUUUUUGUAAGGACACAAGUCCUGUUUGAUUAGGUCCCACCCUAAUGAUCUCAUGUUAACUUGAUUACAUCUGCAAAGACCCCACUUCCAAAUAAGGUCACCAUUCACAGGUACUGGGGCUUAGGACUUCAACAUAUCUUUUGUUGGGACAUGACUCAACCCAUAACAGUAUGGAAAGGUUCUCUUC
Molecule: long non-coding RNA, 1286 nt
Filed under: Homo sapiens (human)
Lineage: Eukaryota; Metazoa; Chordata; Mammalia; Primates; Hominidae
Description: HSALNT0245884
Source: RNAcentral